UACGAAGGGGGCUAGCGUUAAUCGGAAUUACUGGGCGUAAAGCGUGCGCAGGCGGUUCGCUAAGACAGAUGUGAAAUCCCCGGGCUUAACCUGGGAACUGCAUUUGUGACUGGCGGGCUAGAGUAUGGCAGAGGGGGGUAGAAUUCCGACGUGUAGCAGUGAAAUGCGUAGAGAUGUGGAGGAAUACCGAUGGCGAAGGCAGCCCCCUGGGCCAAUACUGACGCUCAUGCACGAA
This 235-nucleotide ribosomal RNA is filed under the name uncultured bacterium. Its description in RNAcentral is "partial 16S ribosomal RNA". It matches the Rfam family "Bacterial small subunit ribosomal RNA", at positions 524 to 757 of the family's 1533-position model. The record is from RNAcentral.